GUGUUACAAUUCAUAUUUAAACGCAACACAUAAAUAGUGACCAAAAAGGUACCGCUAACGCAUGAGAGAAGCUAGAAAAAAAAUGAAAUUUACGCAUUUUCGACAUUUUUGUGGGACCAUCAUAUACAAUUUUAAAAGAUGUGGUUUCAUUGUCAAUUUAAAGACAUACAUUCAUAGAACAAAGAACAAAAAAGUGAACUUAUUCAUAUGCGGAU
RNAcentral lists this long non-coding RNA (215 nucleotides) under Mytilus galloprovincialis (Mediterranean mussel). The record is from RNAcentral. Lineage: Eukaryota; Metazoa; Mollusca; Bivalvia; Mytilida; Mytilidae.